Molecule: ribosomal RNA, 581 nt
Filed under: uncultured marine archaeon
Lineage: Archaea
Description: bacterial SSU rRNA
Rfam family: Archaeal small subunit ribosomal RNA
Source: RNAcentral
UGCUAUCGGAUUGAUACUAAGCCAUGCGAGUCAUUGUAGCAAUACAAGGCAGACGGCUCAGUAACGCGUAGUCAACCUAACCUAUGGACGGGAAUAACCUCGGGAAACUGAGAAUAAUGCCCGAUAGAACACUAUACCUGGAAUGGUUUGUGUUCCAAAUGAUUUAUCGCCGUAGGAUGGGACUGCGGCCUAUCAGUUUGUUGGUGAGGUAAUGGCCCACCAAGACUAUUACAGGUACGGGCUCUGAGAGGAGUAGCCCGGAGAUGGGUACUGAGACACGGACCCAGGCCCUAUGGGGCGCAGCAGGCGAGAAAACUUUGCAAUGUGCGAAAGCACGACAAGGUUAAUCCGAGUGGUUUCUGCUAAAGGAACCUUUUGUCGGUCCUAGAAACACCGAUGAAUAAGGGGUGGGCAAGUUCUGGUGUCAGCCGCCGCGGUAAAACCAGCACCUCAAGUGGUCAGGAUGAUUAUUGGGCCUAAAGCAUCCGUAGCCGGCGCUAUAAGUUAGCGGUUAAAUCUGUACGCUCAACGUACAGGCUGCCGGGAAUACUGUACCGCUUGGGAGUGGGAGAAGGAAACCG